RNAcentral lists this ribosomal RNA (364 nucleotides) under uncultured bacterium. Its description in RNAcentral is "partial 16S ribosomal RNA". It matches the Rfam family "Bacterial small subunit ribosomal RNA", at positions 338 to 699 of the family's 1533-position model. The record is from RNAcentral.
CCUACGGGUGGCAGCAGUGAGGAAUAUUGGUCAAUGGACGCAAGUCUGAACCAGCCAUGCCGCGUGCAGGAAGACGGCUCUAUGAGCUGUAAACUGUUUUUGUACGAGGGUAAACGCAGAUACGCGUAUCUGUCUGAAAGUAUCGUACGAAUAAGUAUCGGCUAACGCCGUGCCAGCAGCCGCGGUAAUACGGAGGAUUCAAGCGUUGUCCGGAUUGAUUGGGUUUAAAGGGUGCGUAGGCGGUCGGAUAAGUGAGAAGUGAAAUCCCGGGGCUCAACUUCGGAAUUGCCAGUGAUACUGUACGGCUAGAGAAUAAGUGCGGUAGGCAGAAUGUAUGGUGUAGCGGUGAAAUGCGUAGAGAUCA